AGGAUUCCCUAGUAACGGCGAGUGAAGAGGGAAAAGCCCAGCACCGAAGCCUGCGCAGUUUUGCUGUUAGGCAAUGUGGUGUUUGGGUCGGCUCGUGGGAUUGCCACUCCACUCCAAGUCCAGCAUUGAGUAUGGUUUACUGGAUUUGGCCCAGAGAGGGUGAAAGGCCCGUAGGUGGAGUAUCAGAAAUGUAAGGCAGUUCACCAGGUCGACCUUAGAGUCGGGUUGUUUGGGAAUGCAGCCCAAAGCGGGUGGUAAACUCCAUCCAAGGCUAAAUACAAGCACGAGUCCGAUAGCGAACAAGUACCGUGAGGGAAAGUUGAAAAGUACUCUGAAGAGAGAGUAAACAGUACGUGAAACCGCAUGCAGGUAAACGGGUGGCGUCAAGCUGCAGGCCCAGAGGAUUCAGUCGACUAGGUUGUAGUGUAUGUGCCUGGCGCAUCCAUCAGUCAGAGUGUGAUUGAGUAGUCCAUGGGUAAACCGUGGGCCUGGCCGCAAGGUCGGGAUGUGUGUACCGGAUGGGUGCCGGAGCAUGCUACUCGUCUGUGGACUGUCUAGUCGGUGCACUUUCUCUGUGGUCAACACCACGACCGGUGGUAUUGCCAGUCUGCUGUGCUCAAGUUGUGCUCGGUUGGUCCUUGUGGCUAGCUGGGUGCGAUCACAGGCAAACUCAGUGAACGGCGCGGGGGUGCCUCGGUAUCUUCGCGUGUUAUCGGCCACUGGUUGUCAACAGGCCUGCCCGGUGUUUGUUGUAACCGGCAUUGGGUGGUCUGGUGGAGCACGGUGGUAAGAAUAACUGUGCAAGGCACCGGAGUUGUCGGCCUCAAAUGCGUCCUGCACACACGUUACAAGUGGUGCUUAGUGGCGGUGUCGUGGCCAUCUGCCUGGUGUUGGGUGUGAUUGGCGUGUCCUGCGAAAAGCGGGCCGCCAGUGGCUCGAUUCAGGAUGGGUGGUUUGCGGCGCUGUCGGUGUGGGACGUGGUGGGCCCAAUAGUCAGUGGU
This 1001-nucleotide ribosomal RNA is filed under the name Proteocephalus tetrastomus. RNAcentral describes it as "eukaryotic LSU rRNA". It matches the Rfam family "Eukaryotic large subunit ribosomal RNA", at positions 71 to 618 of the family's 3401-position model. Lineage: Eukaryota; Metazoa; Platyhelminthes; Cestoda; Proteocephalidea; Proteocephalidae. The record is from RNAcentral.